AGGACCCAAACAUUGUUGAAACUCUGACUUUGGAUUUCCUGAUCUUCAAUACAGUGCAAACUUAAUUUCUACUGCUUAAGCUACUGAAUCUUUGAUAUUUUGCUUUAGUAUCAGAAGAAAUCUGAGUGACAACCUCUUACCAUAAUGGCCAUAUGGGUGCUGUGAAAUAAGGAGGAGUUUUCUGGUGCCAAAGUGGGUCUCAUCAUUAAGGAUACCCAUUGUUGGCUGUUCUUUAAAAGAUCAUAAUGAAACUGCACACAUCUUCAAAGAAGGAGCAAGGUGAAGGGCCCGGAAGGCCUUUUUCCCCUUGGGAAAGGGUGGGUAGUUGAAUGCUACUAUGAAUCCAAAGUAAAUAAGCUCUGGGACAACCCACACAGCCUCAAUUGGAUCAGUCUCAUCUGAUCUUUUGAAGGAAAAAGAAAGGCUAUUAAAAAACAAGGUAGUAAUCUAAAAAGAACACAUAAGGAAUAUCGGUAGCCAUUUUUGGAGGAUUAGUUUAUUCAACUGCAUAUUUUUUUAAUCUAACUCAUAGGGCAAGAGAAUGAAUGUUAACUAUUUAUCCAGCACACUCGAUACACUUUUAAAAAGCACUCAUUAAAUCCUGCCUUCCCUUCCCAUCUCUACUUUUACUAUACAACUGUGUUAAUAAGCUUCCCAUCUGUCUUUGUUUCUUUUUCUGUUGCUGUGAUAAAAUAACAUGAUUAAAACAACUCAGAGGAAAAAAAGGUUUCUCCUUACUGUUCAAGGGUAUAGUCCAUCAUAGUGGAGAACUCAGCUUGGCAGGAGCUUAAAGGAGCUAAGUCACAUCACAGCCGCAAUCACGAAUGAAGGUGGAGACCAAGCUCCUCUGCUUGACUCUCUUUGCCUAGUAGUACAAUGCCAGAUUCCAGCCAGGAAUAGACUCACCCAAAGUGGAUGGGCAUUCACCCAGAGUCCCAUUUCCUGUGUGAUUCUAAGUUCUGCAAAGUUCACAAUUAAAGUUAAUCACUCUGUAAUCCACUUAAGACCAUACUUGAGAAAAUCAACUG
RNAcentral lists this long non-coding RNA (1028 nucleotides) under Rattus norvegicus (Norway rat). RNAcentral's name for it is "long non-coding RNA NONRATT000941". The record is from RNAcentral. Lineage: Eukaryota; Metazoa; Chordata; Mammalia; Rodentia; Muridae.